CGCGGGAUGGAGGAGCAGUACCUCGGCGGGCUCAUAACCCGCAGGCCCGGCUGCAAAUCCCGGUCCCGCAA
RNAcentral lists this transfer RNA (71 nucleotides) under Patescibacteria group bacterium. RNAcentral describes it as "tRNA-Met". It matches the Rfam family "tRNA". From Rfam's summary of the family: Transfer RNA (tRNA) molecules are approximately 80 nucleotides in length. Their secondary structure includes four short double-helical elements and three loops (D, anti-codon, and T loops). The record is from RNAcentral.